This is a long non-coding RNA of Bubalus bubalis (water buffalo), 1845 nucleotides long. RefSeq lists it as uncharacterized. NCBI's taxonomy places the organism in Eukaryota, Metazoa, Chordata, Mammalia, Artiodactyla, Bovidae. The transcript is spliced from 3 exons. The record is from RefSeq and is a predicted model, not a curated record.
GGCCUACAGUCCAUGGGGUCACACAGAGUCAGAUGCAACUUAGCAACUAAGUACACACACUCUCAUACACACACAAGCAUGCUCCUAGGAAGUCCAGAUUUCAACACAUUUCUGUGUUGGUGAAAAGGAGAUGCUAGAAUCUCAGUACAGUUUAUUUUUCUGAAUCCUUGUUUACACUGCAUGCCUGCUUGCAGCGCAAUGCACCACUUCAGUGGUGUCUGACUCUUUGUGACCCCAUGGACUGCAGCCCACCCGGUUCCUCUGUCCCUGGGAUUCUUCAGGCAAGAAUACUGGAGUGGGUUGCCAUUUCCUCCUACAGGGCUUAUUUACCUUAUCAGUAGAAAAUGUAAAACCCUAGAAUCAUCCUAGCCUAUUUCUUCAGCACUGAUUCCCUGUAAACCAGUUGGUCACUGAGUUAUAUCAAUUUUACCUCCUAAAUAUCUCCAAAAUCCAUUUCCCUUCUCCAGCCUCACUGGCAUUGUUUUUGGUUUUUUGUUUUUGUUUUUUUGCAUUGUUCCAUUCUAAAAAUACUUCCUGAAUGUCUGCUCUAGGACAAUGCCACACUCAGCACCGAGGACAUGAUGUUGAAUAAGACUCAGUCUGUCUUCAAGAAAGAUAUGUGAGCAAAUAGAAAAUUGCAAUAUGAUGUGGUAAAAGCUAUGCUUUGCAAGAGACCUGCAACCCAGCCUGAGAGUCAGGGCUGGGGGGAGGGGUCAUAGAAGGCUUCCUGGAAGAGGCAACACCUGAGCACUGUGUGCACAUCUGACCUCUCCAGAACCUCCCUAACAGUGACUCCCAUAGCUUCCCUCUCUGGGAAGCCGUGUGGACCACAGCUACCUGGACAGAGACUGUGCUCCCUGAAGGUCGACCGGGGCAGGACCAGGGCUGUACCACCUUCUAGCAUCCCUCGUGGGGAGCCACAGUCAUCAGCCCAGUGGAAUGACUGACUGGAGUCCCUAUAGGGAAGACCUUGCAUAGGAAGGUAGAAAUUCUUCCUGUGAAAGAGGCUUUUGUGAUGAGGCAUGGAAGAGCUGCACACAGAAUGUGAAGGUUCCAUCUGCAGGACUCAAAAGCACAAGAGCUGAACCUCCCUGUGAUAAGAGCCAUCGAUUUAGAGGACGUUUCCUCCCACACCAGAACCUGUGAGGCCAAAACAAUGUGGAACUGAUCCAGGACAGUGGUAGCCAGAAUCAGAGUAUACAGUCAGAAAGAAUUCAUUCCUUCGUUAAACAAGCAUUCAUGAAGUGCCUACUAAUUGUCAGAUCAUGUGCCAGGCAUUAAAGACAUAAUAAUGAGCAAAACAGAGGUAGCAAAUAGAUAGUGACAGAUGGGAAAAUCAACAAAUACAAGAUCAAUAAUAGAAGAUAAAAAUCCAGCAGUUCUUCUUUAUCCCAAUUUCUCUCCAUGUGAAGAUUGUUAGAUAAAAAUAAUAGUUUUUAUUAGCAUUUUGUUAGCAUUCUGUGUCAGGCACUAAGAUGAAGGCUUUGGUUAUAUUAACUCAUUCAGUCCUCAAAACAACCUUAUGAGGUAGGUACUAUUAUCACUCUCAUUUUACAGGUUAGAAAACCCCAAGCAUUGAAGUUAACAUUCUGUCAAUGUUCACAUAGUAUUAAUAAGUGGAAGAGCUGAGAUCCAAACCCACAUAUUUUGACUCCAGAGUAUGUAUUUAAAAGCCACUAUAUUACACUAUUUCUACACUAUAUAUACACUACUAUACUAUUUUUUUAUAUUAAAAAACCUGCAUAACUUGGAAAAGAUAUUCCAGCCAAGCCAUUCUCCUAUUGAAAAUCUUAAAUAUCCAGUUCCAAAGAAAGAUUAGUUCAAAGAUCUCUGCUGCUGUUAAGU